This 65-nucleotide small nuclear RNA is filed under the name Cercocebus atys (sooty mangabey). RNAcentral describes it as "U7 small nuclear RNA (ENSCATG00000020081.1)". It matches the Rfam family "U7 small nuclear RNA". From Rfam's summary of the family: Animal histone pre-mRNAs are spliced by a different mechanism than nuclear pre-mRNAs and self-splicing introns. This processing involves the U7 snRNP, which contains only one RNA species: U7. The 5' end of U7 RNA is thought to base-pair to a conserved spacer element downstream of the cleavage site in histone pre-mRNA. Lineage: Eukaryota; Metazoa; Chordata; Mammalia; Primates; Cercopithecidae. The record is from Rfam by way of RNAcentral.
AAGUGGUACAGUUCUUUUAGAAUUUGUGCUGGCAGGUCUUCUUGUGUUUUACUGGAAAAGCCUCC